CUCGUAGGCGGCCAACUAAGUCAGACGUGAAAUCCCUCGGCUUAACCGGGGGACUGCGUCUGAUACUGGAUGGCUUGAGGUUGGGAGGAGGGAUGCGGAAUUCCAGGUGUAGCGGUGAAAUGCGUAGAUAUCAGGAGGAACACCGGUGGUGUAGACGGCUUUCUGGACCGUAACUGACGCUGAAACACGAAAGCGUGGGUAGCAAACA
Molecule: ribosomal RNA, 208 nt
Filed under: uncultured bacterium
Lineage: Bacteria
Description: partial 16S ribosomal RNA
Rfam family: Bacterial small subunit ribosomal RNA
Source: RNAcentral